This 250-nucleotide ribosomal RNA is filed under the name uncultured archaeon. RNAcentral's name for it is "partial 16S ribosomal RNA". It matches the Rfam family "Bacterial small subunit ribosomal RNA", at positions 524 to 774 of the family's 1533-position model. The record is from RNAcentral.
UACGAAGGGUGCAAGCGUUGUUCGGAUUUAUUGGGCGUAAAGCGCGCGCAGGCGGGUUUUAAGUCAGAUGUGAAAUCUCGGAGCUCAACUCCGAACGUGCGUCUGAAACUGAAAAUCUAGAAUACUGGAGGGGACAGAGGAAUUUCACAUGUAGGGGUAAAAUCCGUAGAGAUGUGAAGGAACACCAGAGGCGAAGGCGUCUGUCUGGCCAGCCAUUGACGCUGAGGCGCGAAAGCGUGGGGAGCAAACA